RNAcentral lists this ribosomal RNA (484 nucleotides) under uncultured bacterium. RNAcentral's name for it is "partial 16S ribosomal RNA". It matches the Rfam family "Bacterial small subunit ribosomal RNA", at positions 30 to 507 of the family's 1533-position model. The record is from RNAcentral.
AUUGAACGCUGGCGGCAGGCCUAACACAUGCAAGUCGAGCGGAUGAAGGGAGCUUGCUCCUGGAUUCAGCGGCGGACGGGUGAGUAAUGCCUAGGAAUCUGCCUGGUAUUGGGGGAUAACGUCCGGAAACGGGCGCUAAUACCGCAUACGUCCUGAGUGAGAAAGUGGGGGAUCUUCGGACCUCACGCUAUCAGAUGAGCCUAGGUCGGAUUAGCUAGUUGGUGGGGUAAAGGCCUACCAAGGCGACGAUCCGUAACUGGUCUGAGAGGAUGAUCAGUCACACUGGAACUGAGACACGGUCCAGACUCCUACGGGAGGCAGCAGUGGGGAAUAUUGGACAAUGGGCGAAAGCCUGAUCCAGCAAUGCCGCGUGUGUGAAGAAGGUCUUCGGAUUGUAAAGCACUUUAAGUUGGGAGGAAGGGCAGUAAGUUAAUACCUUGCUGUUUUGACGUUACCAAAAGAAUAAGCACCGGCUAACUUCGUG